This 676-nucleotide long non-coding RNA is filed under the name Homo sapiens (human). RNAcentral describes it as "HSALNT0321189". The record is from RNAcentral. Lineage: Eukaryota; Metazoa; Chordata; Mammalia; Primates; Hominidae.
CGCUCCCUUCUACCAUGACCAGAAUCGAAACUAAUACAAAUGCAGCCACCAUCUGGAAAAAACAUAGGUAAUUCAUUGGACAUUUUCCUUUCUUGACUGUUAAAAAUUCCUCAACAGUUAACUUAUGCAAAUUAGUAAGAAGGUACAAAUGUCAAAAUGACAAAAGGGUACAAAAGUCACAAUAUGAUCAUACCGUUUUGGCCUGGUAUUGCUAUUUAAGUGAAGACAUCCAAAAGGGAGAAAUAUGACAACUGGUAUUUGCUUACUUGCCAAUGAACUAUUACAUAAUGAAUUUUAAAAAAUAGAAACAUUUCUAAUUUCCAGUUGUAAGGGAAUGAAUGGUUAGGCCCAUUGUGAUGUUAAAACUAAAAUAAGUAUUUAGUUGUUAGGGAAAAAAUGAGGAUUAUAUUAAAAUAUGUAAAGUACUUAAGUAAAAGAAGUGGGGAAAGCCAAAAUUUUAUGGAAUUGCUGCAAUUCUGUCAGAGUAAACUGGUAGGAUCAAAAGAUCUGAUGUUUAUAAACACUUGAUGUGAAACGUUUUUCAUUUUAUUUUACUUUUGCAUUGCUUCUGAUGUUUAAUGUUCCUUUUUAAUGUUUAUUAUUGUUACCAUGCUUUCUAUUCAAUUGCAUGUUUUCUACUAAAACUCUUAAUAUUUAAAAAAUAUUAAAAUCUCAC